Quercus lobata is the source of this 1100-nucleotide long non-coding RNA. RefSeq lists it as uncharacterized. NCBI's taxonomy places the organism in Eukaryota, Viridiplantae, Streptophyta, Magnoliopsida, Fagales, Fagaceae. The record is from RefSeq and is a predicted model, not a curated record. The transcript has 3 exons.
CUCUCUCUCUGUAAGUCUCAAAAGCCUAAAACUAGAAGCCUAAAAUUGGAACUAAAAAUCUAAAAGCCUAAACUUUCCAAAAGCCUAAACUUUCCCUUCAUUCUUCACUUCAGUCCGGCCUUCUCUCUCUCACUCUCCAAGUCUCUUCACUCUUCUCUAGUCUUCGGCCUCACUAACUCUCUUCCAUCUUCACUUUCCUCUAAUUCUCUUCAGGCUUCACUCUCUCUCUCUCUCUCUCUAUCUCUCUCUAUCAGUCGGUCCAGCCCCAAAUGGCUAGUCGGCUACCCUUCAAAUCAAACUCAGAUUUGAUCUUUCCCAUACCUCUGUUCAUGAAUCAUAGUUUAGGGUUUCAAGACUCAACUUGGCUACACUUCUCAAAAUCAAAAUCAAAAUCAGAUUUUCCCUCAUAUCUCUCUCUUAUAAAUUGGACUUUUACCGAGUGUUCUACGUUCUCUCUGCUCUCUAGUCUCUCUAGUCUCUAGUGAUUUCAAAAUCUCUUAUUUUUAUUUUGAAACAAACAAAUCCCUUUACUCCUUAACACUCAGCCUCUCAGACUCGGCUUCCUAGUCUCAGAUCAGGAGUUGAAAUCCUAGGCUUUUUGCUUCCUUUUCAAGGUUAAAUCCCUGAUAGCUAAGAGUUCUUUGAGGUAUCCUUUCUUUCUCUUUUAACUUCUUGUUAUUGUUUGUGUGUUACUUUUAUGGUUGUUCAAGCUCAAGCAAAGGUAUCUCAAUUAACAUUGAUGACUAAUCAAAAACUGGGAGGAAGGACACACAUUUUGUAUAGGAGGCAGAUUUUUGGAUGCAAUUUGGAAGUUUUUUUGGACAGUGCUUUUCUAAUUGAUAAUUGAUAAAUUAACUCUUGCUUAUAGGAUAGAAAACUUAUUAAGUUUAAUAGGCUUUCUUUUCUAUAAGUCAUGGACUAAACUCUAUAUAGUAGUUGCUCUUUAAAUGUUUUAGAAAAGCUAUUUUUUGGAAGUUUGUAACUAAUUAUAACUAGCUAUUGCUUUACACACUUUCUGCCUUCUUUAACUCUAUGGAAAUAUUGCAAGAGAUGCUCUUAUUAUCUUUUGUUACCACACUUGUGAUGUGGUUGUGAUUGAA